RNAcentral lists this long non-coding RNA (466 nucleotides) under Vigna radiata. RNAcentral describes it as "long non-coding RNA (VRAD_LNC016236)". The record is from RNAcentral. Lineage: Eukaryota; Viridiplantae; Streptophyta; Magnoliopsida; Fabales; Fabaceae.
AGGAAGAAAGGAAAGAAUAAAAGAGAAAGAGAGAAGAAGAAGAGAGAAGAGAGGAAUUAAGAAGAGAAUAAGAUAGAAGAGAAGAAGAGAGAAGAAAAGAGGAAGAGAUAAAAGAAGAGAGAAGAAGAGAAAGAGAUAUGAGAGAAGAAGAAGAGAAGAGAGAAUUGCAAGAGCAAGAAAAUAGAGAGAAAGAGCAAUUGUUAUUAAGGGCAAUUCUUACUCUUACCAUAACCAUGGAACCUAAAAGGGAAGGUUUCCAACUCUUUACUUCUUUUCCAGUCAUUGUUCAAUCUUCAAAUAUUAUUUUCUCUUUCAAACCAAUUGCCAUCCCAUAUUCAAUGCAAACGGUUUUCAAAAUAUGGCAAUUCAAAUCUUGAGUUAUUGUUAUCUUCAAAGAAACAAGUAACUCAAGACAAAAGUGAAUUUGGACUUCUAAAAUAUUCAAAGAUGACAAAUCAAAAUACUA